GACGAACGCUGGCGGCGUGCUUAACACAUGCAAGUCGAACGGAAAGGCCCUGCUUUUGUGGGGUGCUCGAGUGGCGAACGGGUGAGUAACACGUGAGUAACCUGCCCUUGACUUGGGGAUAACUUCAGGAAACUGGGGCUAAUACCGGAUAGGAGCUCCUGCUGCAUGGUGGGGGUUGGAAAGUUUCGGCGGUUGGGGAUGGACUCGCGGCUUAUCAGCUUGUUGGUGGGGUAGUGGCUUACCAAGGCUUUGACGGGUAGCCGGCCUGAGAGGGUGACCGGCCACAUUGGGACUGAGAUACGGCUCAGACUCCUACGGGAGGCAGCAGUGGGGAAUAUUGCACAAUGGGCGGAAGCCUGAUGCAGCAACGCCGCGUGCGGGAUGACGGCCUUCGGGUUGUAAACCGCUUUCGCCUGUGACGAAGCGUGAGUGACGGUAAUGGGUAAAGAAGCACCGGCUAACUACGUG
This 468-nucleotide ribosomal RNA is filed under the name uncultured bacterium. RNAcentral's name for it is "partial 16S ribosomal RNA". It matches the Rfam family "Bacterial small subunit ribosomal RNA", at positions 28 to 507 of the family's 1533-position model. The record is from RNAcentral.